UGGAGGAACUAAAUUUCUGGAUUUAAAAGCAGAGGGAUUAAUUUUUAAAAGUUCAAAGAGUACAAGGAUUGGAGGCAAAACUAGACCAUCAUUUUGCAAAUGUAGAUGUAAUACCCAAAUUUUUCCCGGCCCGAGCCCAACUAUUAAAACCCAAAUAUGAAAAAAUAUAUAAAAUAAAUAAUAAAAUGUCCAAUUUUUCAUUACACCAGCAGGCCCAAAAUAGCCCAAUCCAAAUUUCCUAAUAUUCAACCUAGUCAGCCCAAUACACCACCUAAUCACAUACCAGAAAUUAAAUAAUAAAACCCAAAAUACAUUACCCAAGCCCAAACCCGAAUACAUCAAGCCCAAACAACCCAAAAUCAGAAACCCUAGUGGUUUCUAGACUAAUUUGGUGAAGCCGCAGCAGACCCCUGCUUCAGCGCCGUAGAUGAAUCCAACAAACCUCGCGCGUGCAUCGCCACUAGGCGCGUGCAUCAUCUCCACACAGAUGCGCCUCCAGGCUGGCCGAGUACCUACAAGUAAACACACGAAAACGAGAGCAAAAGAAAAUAACAGAAUAACAAGGACGGGGCAAUUUUCCUUUUAUUUAUUUUUAUUUUCUUUUCCUCUGUAAAAAAUUCAGGCUAUAAAAAAGCCAAGAAUAGACUGUAAACAGUCCGCAUUCAGAGAAAUUGAAUACAAAAAAACUCAUUUUCAGAGAAAAGAAAAAUUCGAAAGGUGAUAAUUAAUCUUUUCUUUGUUAUUUUUUUUCUGCUCCGUUGUUCAUUGAUUAAUAUUGAAGUAGAAAAGAAAAAAGAGCGAGGAACUUACCUGACCGUCGUUCGCUCCGUCACAAUUGGAGCUGGGCGAGGGUUGAAGGUCCCAUAAGCAGUACGUUCCAAAAUGUGGCGUCGAGGAUCUGUUCAUCUUAAGUCUCUGCUUUUCUUUUUUUUAGGAAGAAGAGUCUGUUUAAAUUAGGGUUAUUUUAGUUUUUAUGUCUAGCUAGAAACGGCGUCGUUUGAGGCCGGACCUUGUGGUCUCAAAACGGCGUCGUGUGAUGCUGGUAUCCGCGCGGUGACCCGACCCGGGGCAGGAUCCGCGCGUUUUCGUUCGUCGGUCUAUUUGCGAAAUGAGUCCCUCUAUGUUUUAUAUAGUUUCAAUCUAAUUUUCUUCAGUGUUUUUAAUUUGUACCGUAUAUUUAAUUUUGUUUUCAUUUGGAUCCAAGCCUAAACGGCACCGUUUUCUGGGAUUGAUUUUUAUUAUUCAGGUUUUGCGUUUAAUUUCUGAUUUAGUCCUUCAACGUUGAAAUAGGUUUCAAUUUAAUGCAAAUUUAGUUUUCUUUUUUUAAUUCAAUAAUAUUUUUA
RNAcentral lists this long non-coding RNA (1343 nucleotides) under Gossypium barbadense (sea-island cotton). RNAcentral's name for it is "long non-coding RNA (GBAR_LNC017780)". Lineage: Eukaryota; Viridiplantae; Streptophyta; Magnoliopsida; Malvales; Malvaceae. The record is from RNAcentral.